UUAAAUGAGAGCCAAGGGAUUCUACUUGGAUGAGGUUGAUUGUGGAUGAUAUUUUUAUGGAAAAUUUGACCAAGUGGAGCCCAUCUCUCAUUUCUCUCUUAUCCCCUCUCCCUACCUUCACUUGGCUGACCACCCUACUUUCUCCCCUUUCAAUUUUUUGCGAAACUAGCACAGCAAGGAGGAGAGCAGCCGCCGUCCAUGCCUAGCCGCCCGUUGCCACGCCGGUGCCGCCCUCGCCCCUGUGCGCGCGCCUGCCUCAUCGUGCACCGCCGUCCCUUUGGCCAUGUCUCUUGUCACGCCCCGAUCCUCGGGCACGCACACAUCCUUCUACCUUGGUCGAUUUUAAUAUGCGAUAUCCCAGGACAAUGUAUCGCCGACCCUUUCAUUUAUUAAGCACAUGCAGAAGCAGUUAAAAUCCCCAGACAAUAAAACGAUGGGAUAGAAAAGCAGGGCCAUAUUUUUCAUAUUGAAAUUUAUAACCAAACUUUUAUGCAAAACACAAACCACCUCAAAACUAUUCACAUCAAACGGAGAUCUCAAAAAAGACAGAAACUUAGACGAACUGGGCCGUACUCAAGGCCCCUCUCAGGAUUGCCUUCUUCCUCCAAAAAUCUUUCUCCUUAAGAUUCGCCUCUGAGUCCUCUUUCUCGGAUUCCUCCUCCUCAGCUCUUCAGCGGGAUCCUGAAAUGGUUUUCCCCAAACUGGGAUGAGACUACGUCUCAGCGAGUUCUACCCCACUAAGCCCGAUUAGAUAAACUAUUAUACUACAGGCUGCCUAAACACGCACAAGGCAGAGGACUUACCUUGGCCUCUGAUCCCACCUGCAAGUCAGUACAAUUCAUAAUAGGCACCCAAGCAAUCAUAUCACCAAUCGAAGCAUCGAUCAAAUCGACCUAGUCGAUUAUAUUCCAACGAGACCACUCACGGUCAUUUCCAUUCAGGCAAUCAAUUCACAACAUCAAAUCAAAGUAUCGACCUAGUCGAUUACAUGCCAAACAAAUCAAUCCCCACUGUGGGAUAUUUAAAAGCUAGGCCACGUGUAUUCUCCAGGAUGACCUUCCAAGUCUCCGAGUUCACGUGCCUCGAACCUUGGGCCCACGUGCAUUCUCUCAGGCGACCUUUUUGCCAAAGUGAUGCAUCAAGUCACCGAGACCACGUGCCAUUUUAGAUGCCCGGGCCCACGUGCAUUCUCUUAGGUGCAUCUCACCAAAGCGAUGCAUCAAUUCGCCGAGACCACGUGCCCUUUUAGAUGCCAUUCCGGAAUGCAAGACCCACGUGCAUUCUCUAAGGUGCAUCUCACCAAAGCGAUGCAUCAAUUCGCCGAGACCACGUGUCCUUUUAGAUGCCAAAUCCUGUCACGGAGCCACGUGCAUUCUCCAGGACGACAUACCGAGUCUCCGAGCCACGUGCAUUCUCUCAAGCGACCUUUUCGCCAAGGUGACAUAUUCAACCACUGAACUCACGUGCAUUUUCCCAGGUGACACUCCAAUUCACCGAGCCACGUGUCCUCUUUGCAGUGGUUACCAAUUCACUUUCAAUAUCGACAACCAAUGCCCAACGAUUUCUCAAUCAAAUAAUUAAAUCAACUCAACAAAACAUUAUAAAUGCUGAAUAAACAUACUUGGCCAUUCACCAAUCAAUACUCAAUCAAAUAAUUAAAUUAACUCAACAAAGCAUUAUAAAUGCUGAAUAAACAUACUUGGCCAUUCACCAAUCGAUAAUUCAUUCUCAGUCGAUUCCAAUCAAUUUAGGGUAAAUCCCUAAAAUAUCACAAUUUACUCAAUUCCAUACAACGUAGAGCUCAAAUAAAUAAACGGACUGCGCCACGACAAUCAGCACGAGAUUUCAGUCGUCGGCCAUCAAAAUCUUAAUUUCCGGAAAAUAAUUAAUUUAUUUAUUAAUUUUGAAAAUUAAAUAAUUAUUAUAAAAAAUUCAAUUUAGCUCAAAAUAAAGCCCGAUUACAUAAACAGACUUCACCAUAGUCAUCAGCACAAUAUUCCGGUUCCAGACCAUCUCAGUUGAAUUUUCGGAAAAUAAAUAAUUAUUUAAUUAAUUUCGAAUAUUAAAUAAUUAAUAUUAAAAAUCCCAUUUAGCUUAAAUUAAAGCCCGAUUACAUAAACGGACUUCACCACAGUCUUCAGCAUAAUAUUCCGGUUCCGAACCAUCUCCCUUGAAUUUUCGGAAUAUAAAUCAUUAUUUAAUUUAAUUCCGAAAAUUAAUAUUUAAAUACUAAAAAAAAUCCACUUAGGCCCGAAAAACCUAAUUGGAGCCCACUAAGGGUCGGGAAAAAUCCCGAGACACUUCCAAUAAUUAGUAGACCACGUCUACUUGUUAAUUGCACAAUCAAUUUAUCUAAAACACAUCACAAUUGACUAAUAAUUGCUAAUUUAUUUUAAUCUAACAACCUAAACAUAAUUAAUUAAAUCUAAACCAACCUUAAGCAUAAUUAGCCAACUAAUCCAAGAUUAGUGAGAUUACUCACCAAAUCGCACGCAAAUUGGAUCAAUCCGACGGCGGCGACGCGAGGAACGACAAACUCCAAAGCGGGCCUCGGGUUCGUGGCCCGGAAACGGCCCAAAACGGCCUUGAACAGUGCUGGAAACCCAUUUUUCCAGCUGCUGUUCAUGGCCAAACGAGGCUACUCCGGUGGCUGAGAAGGCGGAGCAAGGCCGGCGGAGGGCAAGGGGAACGCCGGGGAGGUCGGGCGGAGCUGGGCGGUGGCCGGAUGGUGGCUAGUCAGGGCGUAACCGAGCUGGGUCACGGCUGGAUCGCGCGGCCUGGGCGCGCACGGACGGGUGGCUGGACGGCGGCGAGCGGCGGACCCGGCGCGAGCGUGCGGGGCGGCGGCGGAACAGGCAGCGACGGGGAGCUGCGAUCGUGCGGCUCCUGCUCGAGCUUCCUCCUCUAGUUCGCUUCUUCGGAUGCGUGGGGAGGAAGAAGAAGAAAAAGAAAGAGAGAGAGAAGAGAGAGAGAAGAGAGGGAUAAGUCUUGACCAGUCAAAGAGGAAAAGAGAGAGAGAAUAGGCGGUGGGGGGAAAAAAUCGCACGGAUGGG
Molecule: long non-coding RNA, 3053 nt
Filed under: Eucalyptus grandis
Lineage: Eukaryota; Viridiplantae; Streptophyta; Magnoliopsida; Myrtales; Myrtaceae
Description: long non-coding RNA (EGRA_LNC005162)
Source: RNAcentral